GAUCCGGCUCAGGAUGAACGCUAGCUACAGGCUUAACACAUGCAAGUCGAGGGGCAGCGGGAAGUCAGCUUGCUGACUUUGCCGGCGACCGGCGCACGGGUGAGUAACACGUAUCCAACCUUCCCGUUACUCUGGAAUAGCCUUUCGAAAGAAAGAUUAAUACCGGAUAGUAUCGAGAGAUUGCAUGAUAACCCGAUUAAAGAUUCAUCGGUAACGGAUGGGGAUGCGUUCCAUUAGGCAGUUGGCGGGG
Molecule: ribosomal RNA, 250 nt
Filed under: uncultured bacterium
Lineage: Bacteria
Description: partial 16S ribosomal RNA
Rfam family: Bacterial small subunit ribosomal RNA
Source: RNAcentral